This 252-nucleotide ribosomal RNA is filed under the name uncultured bacterium. RNAcentral's name for it is "partial 16S ribosomal RNA". It matches the Rfam family "Bacterial small subunit ribosomal RNA", at positions 524 to 776 of the family's 1533-position model. The record is from RNAcentral.
UACGUAGGGUGCGAGCGUUAAUCGGAAUUACUGGGCGUAAAGCGUGCGCAGGCGGUUGUGCAAGACAGAUGUGAAAUCCCCGGGCUUAACCUGGGAACUGCAUUUGUGACUGCACGGCUAGAGUGUGUCAGAGGGGGGUAGAAUUCCACGUGUAGCAGUGAAUGCGUAGAUAUGUGGAGGAAUACCGAUGGCGAAGGCAGCCCCCUGGGAUAACACUGACGCUCAUGCACGAAAGCGUGGGGAGCAAACAGG